This 72-nucleotide transfer RNA is filed under the name Marmota monax (woodchuck). It matches the Rfam family "tRNA". Rfam says of the family: Transfer RNA (tRNA) molecules are approximately 80 nucleotides in length. Their secondary structure includes four short double-helical elements and three loops (D, anti-codon, and T loops). Lineage: Eukaryota; Metazoa; Chordata; Mammalia; Rodentia; Sciuridae. The record is from Rfam by way of RNAcentral.
UGGGUUGUGGCUCAGUGGUAGAGCACUCUCCUAGCAUGUGUGAAGCCCUGAGUUCAAUCCUCAGCAUCACAU